Molecule: long non-coding RNA, 629 nt
Organism: Alligator mississippiensis (American alligator)
Lineage: Eukaryota; Metazoa; Chordata; Crocodylia; Alligatoridae
Exons: 3
Source: RefSeq, a predicted model, not a curated record
AGAGCUGAAACAGUAAAGAGGAUCACACUUAAGCAUCUGAACAGUAAAGUUACCAGUGAUCUGAACUGUGUGGUACAUGCUGCUAGUCUAAUCUGCCCACCACAGUCAAGCCACAAGCCAUUACUAUUUGGCAAUGAGGAUGGGAUCUUCAUUUGUCUUGAUGCUUGGAGCCACAGCCUAAAUGAUCCAGAACACUUUUCAGUUGCAUCUUAGGAAUGUCGGACUGGAAGGGCCAUAAAGCCACUGCUUCUUUCCAAGUUAGCUCUUAUGCAUGGAAUCGCUGAGAGAGGCAGCUGGACAAGCAACCCUGUUUUCUGCUUUAAAGUUAUUUGAAAGACAAAUUUCUACUAAAAUGCCAAAGUGAAGCCAGCAACAACAACCCCUAUAACUAGAGUGACCAUACAUUCUAGAUUGGCUGGGACAGUCCUGGAUUUCAUAGGCUGUCUCAGAGUCCCAGCCACUGGAGAAAACUGGAGCAAAAAUCCCAGAUUGGCGUAAACCUGCGUGCACAUGUCCAGCUCCUGAUUGACUUUACUGGGCAAGUGACUCCCGGCUUACAGCCCAGCAGAGUUGGGACCAGGGAAGACCUACUACUGUCACCACUCAGAGCCCAGGUGAGGAUGGGGAUU